GACGUAGGGUGCGAGCGUUGUCCGGAUUUAUUGGGCGUAAAGAGCUCGUAGGCGGUUUGUCGCGUCUGCUGUGAAAACCCGAGGCUCAACCUCGGGCCUGCAGUGGGUACGGGCAGACUAGAGUGCGGUAGGGGAGAUUGGAAUUCCUGGUGUAGCGGUGGAAUGCGCAGAUAUCAGGAGGAACACCGAUGGCGAAGGCAGAUCUCUGGGCCGUAACUGACGCUGAGGAGCGAAAGCAUGGGGAGCGAACAGG
Molecule: ribosomal RNA, 253 nt
Filed under: uncultured bacterium
Lineage: Bacteria
Description: partial 16S ribosomal RNA
Rfam family: Bacterial small subunit ribosomal RNA
Source: RNAcentral